This 459-nucleotide ribosomal RNA is filed under the name uncultured bacterium. RNAcentral describes it as "bacterial SSU rRNA". It matches the Rfam family "Bacterial small subunit ribosomal RNA", at positions 29 to 524 of the family's 1533-position model. The record is from RNAcentral.
AACGAACGCUGGCGGCAUGCCUAACACAUGCAAGUCGAACGGGAUCCUAGCUUGCUAGGUGAGAGUGGCGGACGGGUGAGUAACACGUGGGAAUCUGCCUUUUGGUUCGGGAUAACCGCGGGAAACUGCGGCUAAUACCGAAUGCCCUCGUGAGAGGAAAGAUUUAUCGCCAGAAGAGGAGCCCGCGUCCGAUUAGGUAGUUGGUGGGGUAAAGGCCUACCAAGCCGACGAUCGGUAGCUGGUCUGAGAGGAUGAUCAGCCACACUGGGACUGAGAUACGGCCCAGACUCCUACGGGAGGCAGCAGUGGGGAAUAUUGGACAAUGGGGCGAACCCUGAUCCAGCAAUGCCGCGUGAGUGAUGAAGGCCUUAGGGUUGUAAAGCUCUUUUGUCCAGGGAAGAUGAUGACUGUACCUGGAGAAUAAGCCCCGGCUAACUUCGUGCCAGCAGCCGCGGUAAU